This 1335-nucleotide long non-coding RNA is filed under the name Neogale vison (American mink). Its description in RNAcentral is "Neovison vison (American mink) lncRNA (ENSNVIG00000011610.1)". Lineage: Eukaryota; Metazoa; Chordata; Mammalia; Carnivora; Mustelidae. The record is from RNAcentral.
GUUUUUUCUAAAGAGGAAGCCAAGGCGUGUCACACUGUAAGGGCAAUGACAAAAAAUAAGGAACCAGGCAGGAUGAUUUCAGAGUCCGUUUUUUGGUUAUUCCACUCAACCUUUUCGAAGUUCCCCUUCUGUUUCCGUCAUGCAGAACUCAUUGCAGGUUUCCACAUGUUGAAAUGCUCAGUUCAUUACACACUGUUCCUUAUUCUAAUUACUUAUGGGGUUGUGGUUAAUCAGAGUCAGGUGCCUUUCGGGUCUAAUCUCAAUUCCGUGAUCUUGGACAAAUGAUUCUACUUAUCUAGGACUCGUGUCAAGUCUUACCUGUGAAAUGGGUCAGUGGUUAAACCUUCCAGUUCUGCUUCUGGAUUUUACACUGCAGUCCAUUUCCUGCAGCCCCUUUUACAGCCUCAGGUUCCCAGCUGCUUAGGAAUCACCUCACAUUAAGGUAUGCACCCGGAGACAGAAAAUGAAACGGGGGUUGAGAACUCAGAACGCCCACGGUCCCUGCUACAGCCUGGGACUGCAGGUGGCUAAAAGGAAAAGGGAGGUUGCAAGGGCUGGGGUCCACGCAGCCCAGGGCUCCGCCGCGUUCCCAGCUCCUGGGCCGAAGGAGCUGUCAGCGGGCCACCCAAGGCCGUGCCUCAGCUCCACUAACCACUGCUUUUUCCACGCCGCCCGCCACACCUGAGGGCUGCGCCAGGCCCGUUCCGUUGGUUAAGUCUGGGUUUCCCCGCGGGUCAGGUUCCUUUCCGACUCUACGCCACCGAGACCCCAAGGUCCCAGAUGCCCCCCAGGCCAGGAAGUACUUCACCAUUUACCAAACCUCACCUCAGCAACAACAGUCCCGCCUCGCCUCAGGCGGGGAAGAAGGGCCGCCCAAUCCCCAACGCUCAGGCCUACCUAACGCUAAUCCUAAAUGGGAGGAGCCGGACACCCAGAGCUCCCACUACUUGGCCGAGAGCCCAUUGGUUGGACACCCGACUGGGUCCACGCCUCAAGAGGCUCUGCGCGCGUAUCCCCGGCAGCGCGGCGGCGCCCAAUUGCGCCGACUUCCGAUUGGCUGUCAGAGCUCUCGGCUUGUCUCGCGCUCUUUGGCGGGGCCAAUGGGGAUACUCGCAGUCGAGAGGCCGGCAUUGCAGGAGUGGUGGCGCAGCUGUUUCCUCUGGAUAUACACCAAAUAUUGAGAAGAAAGAACAUCAGGAGCUAAAUGUUCUAUUUAAAGCAGUAGUUGCUGCUCAGAAAAUACACAACAGAAAAUGCAGACCCAAAGUCAGUGUUUUAUAUUUUCUUCAUGCAAGAGCAAUGCACUGAAGGAGAGAAGUGUAAGUUUUAUCUUAU